UAAUACGGAGGAUGCGAGCGUUAUCCGGAUUUAUUGGGUUUAAAGGGUGCGUAGGUGGCUUCAUAAGUCAGCGGUGAAAGUUUGUGGCUCAACCAUAAAAUUGCCGUUGAAACUGUUAAGCUUGAGUAUGUUUGAGGUAGGCGGAAUGCGUGGUGUAGCGGUGAAAUGCAUAGAUAUCACGCAGAACUCCAAUUGCGAAGGCAGCUUACUAAACCAUAACUGACACUGAAGCACGAAAGCGUGGGUAUCAAACAGG
This 256-nucleotide ribosomal RNA is filed under the name uncultured bacterium. Its description in RNAcentral is "partial 16S ribosomal RNA". It matches the Rfam family "Bacterial small subunit ribosomal RNA", at positions 521 to 776 of the family's 1533-position model. The record is from RNAcentral.